This 484-nucleotide ribosomal RNA is filed under the name uncultured bacterium. Its description in RNAcentral is "partial 16S ribosomal RNA". It matches the Rfam family "Bacterial small subunit ribosomal RNA", at positions 30 to 507 of the family's 1533-position model. The record is from RNAcentral.
AUUGAACGCUAGCGGGAUGCUUUACACAUGCAAGUCGAACGGCAGCGCGGACUUCGGUCUGGCGGCGAGUGGCGAACGGGUGAGUAAUGUAUCGGAACGUGCCCAGUAGCGGGGGAUAACUACGCGAAAGCGUAGCUAAUACCGCAUACGCCCUACGGGGGAAAGCAGGGGAUCGUAAGACCUUGCACUAUUGGAGCGGCCGAUAUCGGAUUAGCUAGUUGGUGAGGUAACGGCUCACCAAGGCGACGAUCCGUAGCUGGUUUGAGAGGACGACCAGCCACACUGGGACUGAGACACGGCCCAGACUCCUACGGGAGGCAGCAGUGGGGAAUUUUGGACAAAGGGGGCAACCCUGAUCCAGCCAUCCCGCGUGUGCGAUGAAGGCCUUCGGGUUGUAAAGCACUUUUGGCAGGAAAGAAACGUCGUGGGCUAAUACCCCGUGGAACUGACGGUACCUGCAGAAUAAGCACCGGCUAACUACGUG